CCUACGGGUGGCAGCAGUGAGGAAUAUUGGGCAAUGGGGGCAACCCUGACCCAGCCAUGCCGCGUGAGUGAAGAAGGUCUUCGGAUUGUAAAGCUCUUUCGGACGUGACGAUGAUGACGGUAGCGUCUAAAGAAGCCCCGGCUAACUACGUGCCAGCAGCCGCGGUAAUACGUAGGGGGCAAGCGUUAUCCGGAUUUACUGGGUGUAAAGGGAGCGUAGACGGCAGGGCAAGUCUGGAGUGAAAGGCGGGGGCUCAACCCCCGGACUGCUCUGGAAACUGCCAGGCUGGAGUGCAGGAGAGGUAAGUGGAAUUCCUAGUGUAGCGGUGAAAUGCGUAGAUAUUAGGAGGAACACCAGUGGCGAAGGCGGCUUACUGGACUGUAACUGACGUUGAGGCUCGAAAGCGUGGGGAGCAAACAGGAUUAGAUACCCUAGUAGUC
RNAcentral lists this ribosomal RNA (440 nucleotides) under uncultured bacterium. RNAcentral describes it as "partial 16S ribosomal RNA". It matches the Rfam family "Bacterial small subunit ribosomal RNA", at positions 338 to 795 of the family's 1533-position model. The record is from RNAcentral.